AAAGUCUAGCCUGCCCAAUGAGGAUUUUAAUGGCCGCAGUAUUUUGACUGUGCAAAGGUAGCAUAAUCAUUAGUUUCUUAAUUAGAAACUGGAAUGAAAGGUUGGACGAGAAAAUAACUGUCUCUUUAUAAAUUUUUUAGAAGUUUAUUUUUAAGUUAAAAAGCUUAAAUGAUUUUAAAAGACGAGAAGACCCUAUAGAGUUUUAUUAAUUAUUUAAUAAAGUAUUAUUUUGAAUAUUAAAAUUUUUAUUUUUAGGAUUAAUUUGAUUGGGGUGAUUGAAAAAUUUAAUAAACUUUUUUUUAAUAAAAACAUUAAUUUAUGAAUAGUUGAUCCAUUAUUAUGAUUAAAAGAUUAAAUUACCUUAGGGAUAACAGCGUAAUUUCUUUUUAGAGUUCUAAUCGAUAAAGAAGGUUGCGACCUCGAUGUUGGAUUAAAAUUAAUUUAUGGUGUAGAAGCUAUAAUAUUAGGUCUGUUCGACCUUUAAAAUUUUACAUGAUCUGAGUUUAAACCGGUGUGAGCCAGGUUGGUUUCUAUCUUUAAAAAAUUUUUAUAUUUUAGUACGAAAGGACCAAAUAUUAUAAAAAUUUUAU
RNAcentral lists this ribosomal RNA (590 nucleotides) under Pella caliginosa. RNAcentral's name for it is "partial 16S ribosomal RNA". It matches the Rfam family "Bacterial large subunit ribosomal RNA", at positions 1849 to 2713 of the family's 2925-position model. Lineage: Eukaryota; Metazoa; Arthropoda; Insecta; Coleoptera; Staphylinidae. The record is from RNAcentral.